GGGGAAUAACUGUUGGAAACGACAGCUAAUACCGCAUAAUAUUGCUGGAUAAUUUCCAGUAAUGAAAGGAGCUUUCAAGCUCCGCUGAUUGAUGAGGAUGCGGCGCAUUAGCUAGUUGGUAGGGUAAUGGCCUACCAAGGCAAUGAUGCGUAGCCGAUCUGAGAGGAUGAACGGCCACAUUGGGACUGAGACACGGCCCAAACUUCUACGGAAGGCAGCAGUAGGGAAUUUUUCACAAUGGGCGAAAGCCUGAUGGAGCAAUGCCGCGUGACUGAUGAAGGUCUUCGGAUUGUAAAGGUCUGUUGUAAGGGAAGAAAUGGUAAAACAGGAAAUGGUUUUAUCUAUGACGGUACCUUACCAGAAAGCCACGGCUAACUAUGUGCCAGCAGCCGCGGUAAUACAUAGGUGGCAAGCGUUAUCCGGAUUUAUUGGGCGUAAAGGGUGCGUAGACGGUUUUGCAAGUCUGAGGUUAAAUUUAGGAGCUCAACUCCUAAUCGCCUUGGAAACUACAAGACUAGAGUAUAGGAGAGGUUAGUGGAAUUCCAUGUGUAGCGGUGGAAUGUGUAGAUAUAUGGAGGAACACCAGUGGCGAA
Molecule: ribosomal RNA, 593 nt
Filed under: uncultured Spiroplasma sp.
Lineage: Bacteria; Bacillati; Mycoplasmatota; Mollicutes; Entomoplasmatales; Spiroplasmataceae
Description: bacterial SSU rRNA
Rfam family: Bacterial small subunit ribosomal RNA
Source: RNAcentral